This 2167-nucleotide long non-coding RNA is filed under the name Anas platyrhynchos platyrhynchos (common mallard). RNAcentral describes it as "lncRNA (ENSAPLG00000018270.1)". Lineage: Eukaryota; Metazoa; Chordata; Aves; Anseriformes; Anatidae. The record is from RNAcentral.
GGAGAAGAUCAGGAACCAAGGAACAGUUCCAGCAACAUUGAAUGAAACCUGAGACUAUGUCUAUCUGCAGGAGAUCUGGCCUAGAAGCAAUGCUGGUUUGAGCAAUAAGGUGCCUUUAUCAUAACAAAAUGCAACAAAAGCAAAAGCCUUAAUUAAAAGCCUUAAUGAACUGAGAAUUAUUCUACUUACUGAGGAGUUUGCUAAAAAUGGAAAAGUAAAGCUUCCUCUUGUGAUUAAAAAUAUGCAACAGGUUUACUUGCCACGUGCUUAACAGAACACACAGUGGCACUCAACAGUUUGCUUACAGAUCUUAACAGGUGCAUCUCCUCUGCUCUUAAUGGCAGGAAAGAAACUUAUACUUCCCAUUAUUUCAAUGCCCUUUUUGCUGUCCCAGCAGAAAAAAGCCAGUGUCACCACAAAGCAACCAUAAGCAGUAACACCUACUUUGCUAUAUGGAGUCCAACAGCGGAUCUAUAGAAGUUCCUUUUAUUCUGGGACUGGACUGAGCUGCUGGAGUCAACUCUUUGUCUAAAAUGCUAAGGAUCACUCCAGGAUUAGCCAAAAGAAACUCAGAUCCUCUCUCUAUCUUCACUGAAAGGAUACAGAAGCCAAGCAGGGAUGCAACAGCCAGGCUUAUUUCUUAUUAUAGCCCUGUCUGGUCAAACAAGGACUGGGACAAUUUUGCCUAAUACAAACAGUCAGUGGUGCAUUUGAAAUUCCCAUUUAGAAAGACUUCAGACUAAAUUCCUCUUCCACAGUGGGUUGAAAGGACUCAGCUCUGAAAUUAGAUCUGCUUAUGGAGGAGCUGCACUCUUUGAGUGGGAGAAGCCUAACACAAGCAAACCUCAGUAUGUACAAACUGUGGACUAUGGGAAGGAUGUCAAUAGAGUGCAAAAAGUCAGGUUUUAUGCUCAUAAGCAUAAUGUAGAGGAGGCUACAGUUUACAUCAGUUUUGCAGUGGCUUCUAUGUUUUGCACAAAAUCACAAGGAUGGGAACAAAUUUCAGUCUCGUUUCAGAAUCUGGAUUGCCCCUGGUCUUUCUUUUUCACUGCUGUGAUGCUCCAAUAUAUUAUCACAGCUUCAUUCUACCUGGGUCUGCACAUGAAGUUCAGCAGCAUCGAGCAGUUAAUAGUGCCUGCAAGGUGCUUGUACAGCUUUAUUUAUUGAGAUGCAUUUUUCUGUUUCAGCAUUAGAUCCAGAUCAUUUAACCAAGAAAAAAUGCAACAACCACCAGAUGUUAUGUUGUGCUAGUGACUAAUUAUCAAAGAACAUGAAAGACACGUCAUUUUUUGAGGGUGUUAGAAAAGAUAUAGUGAGUGGCGUGAGAAAAAAAAUGGGAUUAAGAACUCUUGGAAUUUAGAGUUAGGAGAAAUAUAUAUAUAUAUAAAUAUGGGGAAUGCUAUAGCUUUUCUAUAAAGGGCAGAACAUCAAAUGACAACUUGCUGAGGUUGGAAAGCACCCAUCUGUUCAGAGCAUAGUCACGUGGAACAGGUUACUCAGGAUCAUGCCCAGUCAGGUUUUGAGUAUCUGCAGAGACGGAGAUUCUGCAACUUCUCCGGGCAACCUGCACCAGUGUUUAAUCCCCUUUACACUAAAGGAGUUUUUCUUUAUUUUACUUGUAAUUUGAUGUAUUUCAAAUUGUGUCCAUUGCCCCUUGUUCUGAUGCUUUGUACCACUAAGGAGUUUAACUCGGUCUUCUUUGCUCCCCCUGUGAAGUAUUGAUACACAUUGUUAAGACUCAUCUGAGUCUUCUCCAGUAUGAAGAGUAAGAGCUUUUUCAGACUCUACCUGUAUGCUGGAUGCUCCAAGAUGUCGUUAUCUUCAUGGCUGGACUUGCUACAACUCAACGAACCACUGCAAUAUUCCCUGCUGUGGGACAACAGAAUGUCAGACCUUGAACUCACAUGUAUGCUAAAUAUUAAACAUGUGCCUAAUCAUGAUUCUUAGUAAGGAGUUUAUAUUGAAAUCUUUUCUUUAAGCAAGUAAAUCAAGAUGAAUUCAGUGAAAAAUUCUUGGCAGUUAUCUGCCAAUUUUUAACAUCUUUGGUGUCUGAUACCGCUCAGAAGUAACCAUCUCCUGGGGCUUUCAGAAGGCAUUGAAGAUAAUCUGAAUUCCUCCCUGGAGAUGUUCAGAAACAUCAUGAGACUCCUUCUUAAUAAUGAGGAUU